UACAGAGGUCUCAAGCGUUGUUCGGAUUUACUGGGCGUAAAGGGUGCGUAGGCGGUCGGCUAAGUCGAAUGUGAAAGCCCGUGGCUCAACCACGGAAUUGCAUUCGAUACUGGUUGACUUGAGGACUGGAGAGGAGACUGGAAUUCACGGUGUAGCAGUGAAAUGCGUAGAGAUCGUGAGGAAGGCCAGUGGCGAAAGCGGGUCUCUGGACAGUUCCUGACGCUGAGGCACGAAGGCCAGGGGAGCGAACGGG
RNAcentral lists this ribosomal RNA (253 nucleotides) under uncultured bacterium. RNAcentral describes it as "partial 16S ribosomal RNA". It matches the Rfam family "Bacterial small subunit ribosomal RNA", at positions 524 to 776 of the family's 1533-position model. The record is from RNAcentral.